This 253-nucleotide unclassified non-coding RNA is filed under the name uncultured Anaerolineae bacterium. RNAcentral describes it as "contains 16S-23S intergenic spacer region". It matches the Rfam family "Bacterial small subunit ribosomal RNA", at positions 524 to 776 of the family's 1533-position model. Lineage: Bacteria; Bacillati; Chloroflexota; Anaerolineae. The record is from RNAcentral.
UACGUAGGUGGCGAACGUUAUCCGGAAUUACUGGGCGUAAAGGGUCCGCAGGCGGGCGGUCAAGUCUGGCGUGAAAGCUCCCGGCUCAACUGGGAGAAGACGUUGGAAACUGGCCGUCUUGAAUCCCACAGAGGUCGGUGGAAUUCCCGGUGUAGUGGUGGAAUGCGUAGAGAUCGGGAGGAACCUCGAAAGCGAAGGCAGCCGGCUGGGUGGAGAUUGACGCUGAGGGACGAAAGCGUGGGGAGCGAACAGG